RNAcentral lists this ribosomal RNA (592 nucleotides) under Escherichia coli. RNAcentral's name for it is "partial 23S ribosomal RNA". It matches the Rfam family "Bacterial large subunit ribosomal RNA", at positions 1158 to 1751 of the family's 2925-position model. The record is from RNAcentral. Lineage: Bacteria; Pseudomonadati; Pseudomonadota; Gammaproteobacteria; Enterobacterales; Enterobacteriaceae.
CCUGCGCGGAAGAUGUAACGGGGCUAAACCAUGCACCGAAGCUGCGGCAGCGACGCUGAUGCGUUGUUGGGUAGGGGAGCGUUCUGUAAGCCUGCGAAGGUGUGCUGUGAGGCAUGCUGGAGGUAUCAGAAGUGCGAAUGCUGACAUAAGUAACGAUAAAGCGGGUGAAAAGCCCGCUCGCCGGAAGACCAAGGGUUCCUGUCCAACGUUAAUCGGGGCAGGGUGAGUCGACCCCUAAGGCGAGGCCGAAAGGCGUAGUCGAUGGGAAACAGGUUAAUAUUCCUGUACUUGGUGUUACUGCGAAGGGGGGACGGAGAAGGCUAUGUUGGCCGGGCGACGGUUGUCCCGGUUUAAGCGUGUAGGCUGGUUUUCCAGGCAAAUCCGGAAAAUCAAGGCUGAGGCGUGAUGACGAGGCACUACGGUGCUGAAGCAACAAAUGCCCUGCUUCCAGGAAAAGCCUCUAAGCAUCAGGUAACAUCAAAUCGUACCCCAAACCGACACAGGUGGUCAGGUAGAGAAUACCAAGGCGCUUGAGAGAACUCGGGUGAAGGAACUAGGCAAAAUGGUGCCGUAACUUCGGGAGAAGGCACGC